UGGGGAAUUUUGGACAAUGGGCGAAAGCCUGAUCCAGCAAUGCCGCGUGUGUGAAGAAGGCCUUCGGGUUGUAAAGCACUUUUGUCCGGAAAGAAAUCCUCUGGGUUAAUACCUCGGGGGGAUGACGGUACCGGAAGAAUAAGCACCGGCUAACUACGUGCCAGCAGCCGCGGUAAUACGUAGGGUGCAAGCGUUAAUCGGAAUUACUGGGCGUAAAGCGUGCGCAGGCGGUUUUGUAAGACGGAUGUGAAAUCCCCGGGCUUAACCUGGGAACUGCAUUCGUGACUGCAAGGCUAGAGUAUGGCAGAGGGGGGUAGAAUUCCACGUGUAGCAGUGAAAUGCGUAGAGAUGUGGAGGAAUACCGAUGGCGAAGGCAGCCCCCUGGGCCAAUACUGACGCUCAUGCACGAAAGCGUGGGGAGCAAACAGGAUUAGAUACCCUGGUAGUCCACGCCCUAAACGAUGUCAACUAGUUGUUGGGGAUUCAUUUCCUUAGUAACGUAGCUAACGCGUGAAGUUGACCGCCUGGGGAGUACGGUCGCAAGAUUAAAACUCAAAUGAAUUGACGGGA
This 570-nucleotide ribosomal RNA is filed under the name uncultured bacterium. RNAcentral's name for it is "partial 16S ribosomal RNA". It matches the Rfam family "Bacterial small subunit ribosomal RNA", at positions 355 to 918 of the family's 1533-position model. The record is from RNAcentral.